RNAcentral lists this small RNA (28 nucleotides) under Bombyx mori (domestic silkworm). Its description in RNAcentral is "ovarian small RNA-10479". The record is from RNAcentral. Lineage: Eukaryota; Metazoa; Arthropoda; Insecta; Lepidoptera; Bombycidae.
AAGAAAGCUAAGGCGUAUCUUACCAAGC